RNAcentral lists this ribosomal RNA (418 nucleotides) under Parrhinotermes microdentiformis. Its description in RNAcentral is "partial 12S ribosomal RNA". Lineage: Eukaryota; Metazoa; Arthropoda; Insecta; Blattodea; Rhinotermitidae. The record is from RNAcentral.
CCCUAUUAUUUAUGAGUGUUAAUUUUGUUCUUAGGUAGUAUUAGUUAUGUUCUUGAAACCUAAAGAAUUUGGCGGUAUUUUAUUCCGAUCAGAGGAAUCUGCCCCUUUAUCGAUAGUCCGCGUUGUACCUUACUUAAUUUUCUUGUUUGUAUACCGCCGUAUUUUGAUUAUCAUUUUAGUGUUUGUAAUUUUCUUGAUUCUUUAUUUGGUUAUAUUUCAGGUCAAGGUGCAGCUUUUAUUUAAGUGUGAGGUGGAUUACAUUGAUUUUUUGUUAUUUUUGGAUUGUUUAUUGUUAUUUUAUUUUCAUGAAAUUGGAUUUGAUUGUAAUAUUUUGGGAUGAAGAUUGUUCUUGUGAUAUUGGUUCUAAGAUAUGUACACAUCGCCCGUCGCUCUCGUUUUGUUAUUAAUGAGAUAAGUC